UACGGGGGGGGUAAGCGUUGUUCGGAAUUACUGGGCGUAAAGGGCUCGUAGGCGGCCAACUAAGUCGGACGUGAAAUCCCUCAGCUUAACUGGGGAACUGCGUCCGAUACUGGAUGGCUUGGAUUUGGGAGAGGGAUGCGGAAUUCCAGGUGUAGCGGUGAAAUGCGUAGAUAUCCGGAGGAACACCGGUGGCGAAGGCGGCUUCCUGGACCGACACUGACGCUGAGGCGCGAAAGCUAGGGGAGCAAACGGG
This 253-nucleotide ribosomal RNA is filed under the name uncultured bacterium. Its description in RNAcentral is "partial 16S ribosomal RNA". It matches the Rfam family "Bacterial small subunit ribosomal RNA", at positions 524 to 776 of the family's 1533-position model. The record is from RNAcentral.